GACGAACGCUGGCGGCGUGCUUAACACAUGCAAGUCGAACGGAAAGGCGCUGCGCUUGUUUCUUUCUCGAUUGCCGAACGCGUGAGUAACACGUGAGUAACCUGCCCUUGUCUUUCGGGUAACUUCUCGAAACUGCGGCUCUUACCGCAGAUGAUCUCUUGCUGCGUGGUGUGGGUUGGUGAGUGUCGGCGGUUGUGGAUGUACUCGCGGGUUAUCCGCUUGUUUGGGGGGUAGUUGCUUACCAAGGCUUUGACGGCUAGCCGGCAUGAGAGGGGGACCGGCCACAUUGGGACUGAGAUAGGGCGCAGAAGCGUACGGGAGGCAGCAGGGGGGAAUAUUGCACAAUGGGCGGAAGCCUGAUGCAGCAACGCCGCGUGCGGGAUGACGGCUUUCGGGUUGUAAACCGCUUUCGCCUGUGACGAAGCGUGAGUGACGGUAAUGGGUAAAGAAGCACCGGCUAACUACGUG
Molecule: ribosomal RNA, 468 nt
Filed under: uncultured bacterium
Lineage: Bacteria
Description: partial 16S ribosomal RNA
Rfam family: Bacterial small subunit ribosomal RNA
Source: RNAcentral